GGCCUGAUAGCUCAGUCGGUAGAGCAAGGGAUUGAAAAUCCCUGUGUCCAUGGUUCGAUUCCAUGUCAGGCCACCA
RNAcentral lists this transfer RNA (76 nucleotides) under Ghiorsea sp. RNAcentral describes it as "tRNA-Phe". It matches the Rfam family "tRNA". From Rfam's summary of the family: Transfer RNA (tRNA) molecules are approximately 80 nucleotides in length. Their secondary structure includes four short double-helical elements and three loops (D, anti-codon, and T loops). Further hydrogen bonds mediate the characteristic L-shaped molecular structure. tRNAs have two regions of fundamental functional importance: the anti-codon, which is responsible for specific mRNA codon recognition, and the 3' end, to which the tRNAs corresponding amino acid is attached (by aminoacyl-tRNA synthetases). tRNAs cope with the degeneracy of the genetic code in two manners: having more than one tRNA (with a specific anti-codon) for a particular amino acid; and 'wobble' base-pairing, i.e. permitting non-standard base-pairing at the 3rd anti-codon position. The record is from RNAcentral. RNAcentral also lists the same sequence under 1 other name. Lineage: Bacteria; Pseudomonadati; Pseudomonadota; Candidatius Mariprofundia; Mariprofundales.